This 122-nucleotide ribosomal RNA is filed under the name Transversotrema carmenae. Its description in RNAcentral is "partial 5.8S ribosomal RNA". It matches the Rfam family "5.8S ribosomal RNA", at positions 33 to 154 of the family's 154-position model. Rfam says of the family: 5.8S ribosomal RNA (5.8S rRNA) is a component of the large subunit of the eukaryotic ribosome. The record is from RNAcentral. RNAcentral also lists the same sequence under 1 other name. Lineage: Eukaryota; Metazoa; Platyhelminthes; Trematoda; Azygiida; Transversotrematidae.
UGUCGAUGAAGAGCGCAGCAAACUGUGUGAAUUAAUGUGAACUGCAACCUGCCAUGAACAUCGACAACUUGAUUGCACAUUGCGGCCAUGGGUUAGCCUGUGGCCACGCCUGUCCGAGAGUC